CAUGAGUAAACAUCUCCCUGAUUCAAGAUCUUCACUUGGCUGGCUGUUUUUCAAAGAUGCGCUCCUCAAGAAAAAUGUCCACGUGUUUGCUGACCUUAGUUCUGUAGUUUUGUUGUAAUAGUUCAGCAUCUUUAAAAAGAAGAAAAAUGUAGCAAUGGGUUUUGGUCAUUCCUUAUAAAACCUGUUACAAAUUACAGUUAAAGAAUCUUAACCAUGCUUAAUUGGACUCAUUUCUCAAAGAUCGUGCAACUAAAAGGCAUCUGUAAUCUGAUACUGUAAAGUCCCAUUUUUGGGGAUCAAAACAGUUCUCAAUGUGGCUUUUCAUUGAACAGCCACUACCAUUGCUCUAAACUUUGUCCAGCACUUGAAGUGCUUCCUGAUUUGAUUCCUUUUCUUAUAUAUUGCAAUAUCUGGGGCUUGUUUGUGUUCCUUAUUUUCCCCCUCAGUCUCUGACUGACCUACCUCCUGCCAGGUUUUAAACUGAGAGGAAAGAUAUAUGCUCAUAAACAGACUUUUGGGAGACUUGAUGCUAAAUUCAAAUUAAUAUUAAAAAAGAGAAAAAAAACCUUAGUUUAACUGAGGCUCCUGUUUGUUCAAUUUCCCAAAAGAGUGAAUUCCUUUCAGACUGGUGAACUACACAUCCGAAGUGGCCGGCUGUUCAUGAAGUUGCAAAUUGCAGCAUGCUACAGUCUGUCCAAGGUAUCUUCUGUGCUCUGCUCAACAUCUGCAUUUUUAAUGUGCUGUAAAAUGGACUAAUCUUGUUUAAAGUGAUCGAGAAAUGUAACUUUGUUUCCCUAAAGCUUAUAUAUAUCUCAAACCGGGAACAGUUUUGUACUUUUUGUUCUUUGUAUGAUCAACUUUUUUUUUGUCAGUUUGGCUUCAUGGAGCCUAUUAAACAAAUUGUGGAAAAUGAUCAUGAUUGUUGCCUCUUAAAACAACCGCAUGGGGACUAAAGCUGAGCGCUGUAGGCUCAUUUUAAUGUAAUGCUGCGUGAGAACUAAAUCAUCUGCUUGAUGCAAUCAGAUGGUGCCCAUCUCUGGACUAAAGUCAACAAUUUGGUAGGCUAGUCAAAGUUCUCAAAGCUUAAACGGGAGGGGAGGGAAAGCUGUUACUGGGUAUCUGUAAAGAUCCACAUAAGUUUGAAAAAGGGGUGGGGAAAGCACAGUUGAAUCAAGUGAAUCCUGUACAUGUUAAACGAUCCAUGAGCCGAAUGUUGUACCUACUAAGUGUGCUGAUCAAACAAAGUGGCAUAUGGGGGAAGUUGGUGCCUGGUCAUGUUCAUGCUUCAUUACGUUCAAGAGAGGUCAAGAGCUCCUUCAAAAUCCUACAAGUCCUUGGAGAGUGAAGUGUUGCGCCUACCAACAAGUGCUCCUCAGAGAUGAAAGCUGCUCUUGCCUAGUCAAAUGUGAAGAAAGUAGGCCAGUGCACGUGAGGUAAAAAUCUCCUUUUGCUUUGCUCACAUCCUUGAAACUAAGUUCUCAUUGUUGCCAUGAAAUACCUUCAAGUUAGCCGCUGUUUAGUCCUCUGCUUCUGAUGUCUCCUACAAACAUCACAAGUCCUCUUACCUGAUUCUAAAGUCCAUUGGGAGGUGGGGUUUCUGUCUGGGAUUUUAGUGCUCCACCUUGAGUCCACCAAAAAAUGCAUUGGUCCUUUAAGUCGGAUAGUUUUGUGCUCAGUCCACUUUGGUCACUAGUCCACAAAUUUGCUCCUGUAAUGUCCACAAGCCCCAAUUCAUGUGUAAGGUGUAUAGACUGCAUUCACUUUUCCUUUGUACCUUAUGUGGUGAGUCAUUAAUACUGCAUGCAGUUUGACUUCAAGCAUCAGUUGGCAGGUUUAAUCCAUCCAUUUCUCCUCCUCUAGACUGAAAACUGACUGGAUGCUUCAGUGGAUCUCGUCACAGCUGAAGUAGCUGGAUUUUUAGGCUGCAAGAUCUCAUGCAGUUGCUGUAUCAGGUCCAAUGAGCAGUGGGGUGACUGUCAACACGAAGGAAUCUUCCAAAUUCCUGAAGCGCAUUUCCUGAUGUUACAGUAAAUGUCGCGAACUGGGAAAACGGCAUUAGAGCUGCAGUUGAUGGACAAACCUGACUAUGUAGUUUUGCUUUGGAUCGAAACUCGAAUAAAAUCUGACACAAAAGAA
Molecule: non-coding RNA, 2136 nt
Organism: Neolamprologus brichardi
Lineage: Eukaryota; Metazoa; Chordata; Actinopteri; Cichliformes; Cichlidae
Source: RefSeq, a predicted model, not a curated record